Long non-coding RNA from Canis lupus familiaris (dog), 841 nucleotides. RefSeq lists it as uncharacterized. The transcript is spliced from 6 exons. Lineage: Eukaryota; Metazoa; Chordata; Mammalia; Carnivora; Canidae. The record is from RefSeq and is a predicted model, not a curated record.
UGACGUCUGUGGAUCCCUUUGGGGAGCCUUUACAGCAUAUACCUGCCAUAGUGAUUCAGGUUCCUUCGUCCUGGGGACCCAGCCAUCAUCAGAAGAUUUCCAGAUCUGAAAAUAGGCUCUGCAAGGGAUCAUGACUUUUUAUUGGAGCAACUGACCUCCUUCUCCUGAUAAUAUAUUCUUGCCUUCUUCUGACUGCAUAUUUUAAGCAGAGCCCUUAUUGGCUGCCCAUCUGUUUUGCCCUGAGGAACACCGUAUUCUGUUAACCAUCUCCAUAAUUCUCUACAGCACUUAGGCUCCUGUUUGUCCACAACAGAAAUAGAACCUAACAUAGCAGAAAAGGUACAUAUUGUCCUGACUGGGAAGAUCAGGAACAGGCUUGGAGGACAAGCAGGAACUAUGGAAGCCCUGAGGACCCAGUCAGAGCCCAAAGAGGAAAACACUGGCAGAAAUCUCCAGGUUUAUAGAUGAAAAUCUUUGCACCUGACUGUUAUAAGGAAAACCCCCAUGACACCACAGGUUUGAGCUGAGGAAAGGACAUCUGUGCAUUAGAGCACAUAAGUUAAGAAAUACUAUACAGAACUCUAGGAGCACAGCCAUUGCCUGGUGGUGUGCUGCAGUCAGCUCAUAUCAGUUCACAAGAACAUAUUGUGCAUAUCUCUUCCCAACCUGAUGUUGAAUGAAGUCAGAAUGAUAGCUUGAAAAUGAUCAUUAUAGGAAUACUUGCACCAUGGAAAUUGGCAAAUGUUAAGUGUGAUCCUGGUGAUUUCCCUGGAGGUUUGAAAGAUAGCUGAAGAUUUUGAAGAGAAGAGUCAUCUUGCAAAGCAUCAUCCUUGUCUCCAGG